RNAcentral lists this ribosomal RNA (253 nucleotides) under uncultured bacterium. Its description in RNAcentral is "partial 16S ribosomal RNA". It matches the Rfam family "Bacterial small subunit ribosomal RNA", at positions 524 to 776 of the family's 1533-position model. The record is from RNAcentral.
UACGAAGGGGGCUAGCGUUGUUCGGAAUUACUGGGCGUAAAGCGUGCGCAGGCGGCUAUCCAAGUCAGUGGUGAAAGCCCGGAGCUCAACUCCGGAACUGCCAUUGAAACUGUUUAGCUUGAGGACGAGAGAGGUGAGUGGAAUUCCCAGUGUAGAGGUGAAAUUCGUAGAUAUUGGGAAGAACACCGGUGGCGAAGGCGGCUCACUGGCUCGUAUCUGACGCUCAGGCGCGACAGCGUGGGGAUCAAACAGG